UACGUAGGGUGCAAGCGUUAAUCGGAAUUACUGGGCGUAAAGCGUGCGCAGGCGGUUAUGUAAGACAGGUGUGAAAUCCCCGGGCUUAACCUGGGAACUGCAUUUGUGACUGCAUAGCUAGAGUACGGUAGAGGGGGAUGGAAUUCCGCGUGUAGCAGUGAAAUGCGUAGAUAUGCGGAGGAACACCGAUGGCGAAGGCAAUCCCCUGGACCUGUACUGACGCUCAUGCGCGAAAGGCGUGGGAGCAAACAGG
RNAcentral lists this ribosomal RNA (253 nucleotides) under uncultured bacterium. RNAcentral describes it as "partial 16S ribosomal RNA". It matches the Rfam family "Bacterial small subunit ribosomal RNA", at positions 524 to 776 of the family's 1533-position model. The record is from RNAcentral.